Molecule: ribosomal RNA, 406 nt
Filed under: uncultured bacterium
Lineage: Bacteria
Description: partial 16S ribosomal RNA
Rfam family: Bacterial small subunit ribosomal RNA
Source: RNAcentral
AUUGAACGCUGGCGGCAGGCCUAACACAUGCAAGUCGAACGAGUGGCGGACGGGUGAGUAAUGUCUGGGCAACUGGCUGAUGGAGGGGGAUAACUACUGGAAACGGUAGCUAAUACCGCAUACCAUCGGAUGUGCCCAGAUGGGAUUAGCUAGUAGGUGUGGUAACGGCUCACCUAGGCGACGAUCCCUAGCUGGUCUGAGAGGCUGACCAGCCACACUGGGACUGAGACACGGUCCAGACUCCUACGGGAGGCAGCAGUGGGGAAUAUUGCACAAUGGACGCAAGCCUGACGCAGCCAUGCCGCGUGUAUGAAGAAGGCCUUCGGGUUGUAAAGUACUUUCAGCAGGGAGGCGUUACCCACAGAAGAAGCACCGGCUAACUCCGUGCCAGCAGCCGCGGUAAUUC